This 1118-nucleotide unclassified non-coding RNA is filed under the name Hevea brasiliensis (rubber tree). Lineage: Eukaryota; Viridiplantae; Streptophyta; Magnoliopsida; Malpighiales; Euphorbiaceae. The record is from RNAcentral.
ACGAUGCAAUGCCAAGUGGGUCCUGCCUCCUAUCGAGCUCCUUUAUGCGCUCAGCUACAUGGUUCUCAACAUCAUGCUUCUCGAAUGCCUCAUCUUAUCCAUGUUGUACGCAAAUGUCCCAUUGUAAACAUGCCAACUGAUGGAACUUUGGUAAAAAGAAACUAACGGCUGUUAAUAUUGCCUUGUCCACCAUUUGAACAUUUAUAGUUUUUCUUUAAAUCAUCUGGUAAGUGGGAAGUGGUAAGCACAGAAAGUUCCUGGAAAACUUGUAAUCGCCAUAAGCAGUAAGCAAUGCAGUCUUCAAAAAUCCCCAUGGAGCUCUCAAUGAACCUCCUAACCCUUGCAGCAGACAAUAAAACAGCCACAGCAAAAAAUGAUCAAGAGCACCAGGAUCCAAUUUCACAAGUCCCAUAACCUCCUGAGCCAACGAAGGAUCCUACUUCACCAGAAAAUCAACGUGAAGCAAAACGGUCCCUUCAAUUUCCCUAGCGGUGGAAUUCGCUAUCGAUCCCAACUCUGACCCCAAUAAAACUCAUAAUCCCUUCAAUCACCUCCCUCUAAUUGGAUCCCUUGUACGCCAAAACCAACAGUUGAUAUGCAAGCGAAGGCAACUUGAGUCACACAACUAAAGAUUAUAAGAAAAUUUCAAAAGGCUUGUAAGGGGUGAAGUGCUAGCUACUAUUAGUUAUUUUAACCUUUGGAUUCUUAAAUUAGCCUACUCAUUUACCUCUGCCCGUUCAACUUGUCAAGGUUCCCAUGUUACCGCUGCCACUGUUUUGAGGGAAUUGGGAUCGUGUGGGCCGGAUUUGGAAAGAAAGGAAGAGAUGGGUGUACAUGGAGAGGAGAGAAAGACAGAUAGGGAAGGGUGGUGUAGAGAGAGGGAAAUGAGAGACAGGACAGAGAGUGUAUACUCGGAGACGGCGACGGAAAGAGUGGAAAACGGGAGCGGGUGCGGAGGUACAACGAGAUGAGAGAAGCGUGGUAAGAUUUAGAGAAAAGGUAAGGAUGGAGGUUGUUUUGAUGGGCUAGGUUUACGAUCUCGGUGCGGGUUUGUGGUGGCUCUUGGUCUCUGCCGCUGGUGGAGGCGGUGACCAUGUUUUUGUCUCUGUAAUUUUGAC